This 253-nucleotide ribosomal RNA is filed under the name uncultured bacterium. Its description in RNAcentral is "partial 16S ribosomal RNA". It matches the Rfam family "Bacterial small subunit ribosomal RNA", at positions 524 to 776 of the family's 1533-position model. The record is from RNAcentral.
UACGUAGGGUGCGAGCGUUGUCCGGAAUUAUUGGGCGUAAAGAGCGCGUAGGCGGAAAUUUAAGCGUGGCCUGAAAGCCCCCGGCUCAACCGGGGAGUGCGGCUGCGAACUGGGUUUCUUGAGGACGAUAGAGGAGAGUGGAAUUCCUGGUGUAGCGGUGAAAUGCGUAGAUAUCAGGAGGAACACCCGAGGCGAAGGCGGCUCUCUGGGUCGUACCUGACGCUGAGGCGCGAAAGCGUGGGGAGCGAACGGG